This 898-nucleotide long non-coding RNA is filed under the name Mustela putorius furo (domestic ferret). Its description in RNAcentral is "lncRNA (ENSMPUG00000025050.1)". The record is from RNAcentral. Lineage: Eukaryota; Metazoa; Chordata; Mammalia; Carnivora; Mustelidae.
AGGUUUCAGGGGGUUUCUCACACCCUUCCAGGGGUAUGUGGUUUCUGUAGGCUUCUGUUUAUAGUUCACCACUUAGGUUCACGGUUGUUUUUUCAGGAGUUCAUACUGUCUCGCAGUCUGGUGUCUACAGCACAGCAGUAUUUGGCCCUGUUCCAAGCCCCUGCUCUCAGAACUGGGGCACCCGAGGUCGGAGGUCAGCCGUUAGCCAACUGCCUCCAGGCCCCUUCCACCGGCCCUCUAGGUCCGUCGCGUCAGUCUCAGAAAAGCUGGAACGUUGGGCCCGAUCCUGCUCUUCCCUUCCCCUCCUGCGGGACAAGCCACCAGUUGCAUGUUUCCUCCAACAGCUCUGAGCUGUGCCAGCUCAAGGGUAGUUUUCCAAGGCAUUCUGAAGUAUGGAAAUUCCCUCUGGAUCACUUCCCCUGAGACCUCAAAGGAUGAAUUCCCAGCUCUUUCGGCAGCAUGACACCUCCGUGAAUUUUCUUCCACCCACUGAGCCAUGCCCACAUACUCUCCAAUGAGAAUGUAAUCAUUAUUUAUUGUUUCUUCAAUCAUUUUGCUUUGGCAAAAUCUUCAUUCAACUCCUUCAGGUUGUUGACCUGUUAUAGUGACUGAAACAUUUAUUCUUGAAAGUUUUGAGUCCUCAUUUCUCGACCUUUUUUGUUGUUACUGUUCUCCAUUAACCUUCACUAUUAGGCAUGGAAGUUUUAAGAAACACUCCAGUGAUUCUUCUGGAUGUUGGAUUUGGAUAUCCUUGCCUCAGCUGUCUGUAGCAACUCAGUUCCCUCUAACUUUACCCUUAGAGCACUUCCUUUCUCUGCUUGUUGGUGAAAUUAAAGAGCUAAAAAUGACCAACCUUCACUUUUAUUUUCCAAUUCAGUGGAACCACUGAAGCAUUCCU